UUCAAAUUUUAUAAAUGUAUUCUAUUGAAACACAUUCUAACCUCUUUUCAUCGAAGAAACAGUUGGAAUUACUCUGUAUUUUAUGUAAUUUCAAUAAAAAAACUUGGAAAUUUUUAUUUUUAUUUCAAUUUCUGUGUACAAUGUUUAUUUAUUGAUAAAUAUGGAAAAUUAUCGGUCAUUUUAUGUUGCAUCAGGUUUUCAAGAAGAUUGUAAUAUUCUUAUUUCAGAAUUUGAAAAUACCGAUUCAACUAGUUUUAAAGAAUUUUCUAAAAUUUGGAAUAAAAUGCGAUUUUCGUUGAUAUUUAUUGAGAGAUCAACAAAACCUGAAUUAAUGGAAUUUUGUGAAGAAGUUCUUCAUAGUGCUAAAAAUUUUCUCUUAGCGUCGAGAAAAUUAAAAGAAAAAAUUGGUGGUGUUUAUUUGUUAUACGGAUUAUAUUACAGAAUGCCCGUAGGAGGACCAAAAAUUCGUAUGACAAUGAACGAUUGGGAAAUUGUUUUAAAUUUACAAUCUGAAUUAAUUCAUCACCAUGAAUAUCAAGCAGUAUAUAUUCUUAAUCAAUUAAUUGAAAACAAUGCUUUUGUUUACUGUACAUUUGAACAUGAGAGAAGAUUAGAGAAUUACUACUCCAUGAAAGAGUUUAUAAAAAGAGAUCCACAACCUAAAAGUGAUCUUAUCAGUAUAUUUGAUGAUUUAAAAAAACAAAGUAAGAACUAUGUUGAUUUAAAGAAUGCAUCAGAACAGAUGACAGGUGAAGAUAUACCAAGAUUAUUCAAAAUGGAAAAUAUUACAAAAAUGGUUGGAGAAAUAGAGAAUUUAAAUAAUGUUGUUGUUUCAAAAAAAACAACUGUACCAGUUAAAACAACAAUGAGCUUACGCAGCAGUGGAAAAAUUGAUAUAUCAAAGCCAUCAACUUCUCAUGAAAAUUUCGAAGACUUAUUACCUUCUACAUCAAAAGAUAAUGGAAACACUCUAAAUUUAAAGAUGGAAUGUAGUGGUGACACAGAAUCAUCAGAGGAAUCGUCCGAUUCAGAUGACUGAUCAAUAUUAUUAAAAGAAAGUUUUAAUGAAUUGCAAUGAAUUAUUACAAAAACUAAAAAAAUUAAAAUCCAAUUGCUGAAUGUUAAUUACAAAACAUGAUUUCAAAAGAUUAAUUAAAUAAAAAAAGAUUAAUAAAGAUAAGCGUUGUCAUAAUUUUAUUUAAUAAAUAUUCAAAGAAAAAUAAACAAAAUGAUUUUUGUCUACUGAAAAAGCUUGACAAAAGGGGAACAA
Chelonus insularis is the source of this 1270-nucleotide RNA transcript. It is a transcript of the gene named proximal sequence element A Pbp45, with no coding region annotated. The record is from RefSeq and is a predicted model, not a curated record. Lineage: Eukaryota; Metazoa; Arthropoda; Insecta; Hymenoptera; Braconidae. The transcript has 4 exons.